This 271-nucleotide ribosomal RNA is filed under the name uncultured Peredibacter sp. RNAcentral's name for it is "partial 16S ribosomal RNA". It matches the Rfam family "Bacterial small subunit ribosomal RNA", at positions 595 to 864 of the family's 1533-position model. The record is from RNAcentral. Lineage: Bacteria; Pseudomonadati; Bdellovibrionota; Bacteriovoracia; Bacteriovoracales; Bacteriovoracaceae.
UGAAAUCUCAGGGCUCAACCCUGAAACUGCGUCUGAAACUGCUAGUCUAGAAUAUCGGAGGGGGCAGGGGAAUUUCACGUGUAGGGGUAAAAUCCGUAGAGAUGUGAAGGAACACCGGAGGCGAAGGCGCCUGCCUGGACGAUACUUGACGCUGAGGCGCGAAAGCGUGGGGAGCAAACAGGAUUAGAUACCCUGGUAGUCCACGCCGUAAACGAUGAACACUAGUUAUUGGGGGUAUUGACUCCCUCAGUGACGCAGCUAACGCAUUAAG